ACCUGGGUGGUGCAAAUGGUUAACAUGCUGGGCUACAAACCUAAAGGUUGGCGGUUUGAGUCCACCCAGAGGUA
This 74-nucleotide transfer RNA is filed under the name Loxodonta africana (African savanna elephant). It matches the Rfam family "tRNA". From Rfam's summary of the family: Transfer RNA (tRNA) molecules are approximately 80 nucleotides in length. Their secondary structure includes four short double-helical elements and three loops (D, anti-codon, and T loops). Further hydrogen bonds mediate the characteristic L-shaped molecular structure. tRNAs have two regions of fundamental functional importance: the anti-codon, which is responsible for specific mRNA codon recognition, and the 3' end, to which the tRNAs corresponding amino acid is attached (by aminoacyl-tRNA synthetases). tRNAs cope with the degeneracy of the genetic code in two manners: having more than one tRNA (with a specific anti-codon) for a particular amino acid; and 'wobble' base-pairing, i.e. permitting non-standard base-pairing at the 3rd anti-codon position. The record is from Rfam by way of RNAcentral. Lineage: Eukaryota; Metazoa; Chordata; Mammalia; Proboscidea; Elephantidae.